This 45-nucleotide non-coding RNA is filed under the name Plasmodium falciparum 3D7. Lineage: Eukaryota; Apicomplexa; Aconoidasida; Haemosporida; Plasmodiidae. The record is from RNAcentral.
CUUCUCAAAAGCGUUGGAACUAUAAAUGCAUAAAAUCUCGGCCAU